AGUACGGCCGCAAGGCUAAAACUCAAAAGAAUUGACGGGGGCUCGCACAAGCGGUGGAGCAUGUGGCUUAAUUCGAUGCAACGCGAAAAACCUUACCGGGGCUUGACAUGAUAGAAGUAGGAACCUGAAAGGGGGACGAACGGUAUCCAGUCCGUAGCUAUUACAGGUGUUGCAUGGCUGUCGUCAGCUCGUGUCGUGAGACGUUGGGUUAAGUCCCCUAACGAGCGAAACCCUUGUUUUUAGUUACCAGCGGGUUAUGCCGGGUACUCUAGAAAGACUGCCGUCGUCAAGACGGAGGAAGGUGGGGAUGACGUCAAGUCAUCAUGGCCCUUAUGCCCCGGGCUGCACACGUGCUACAAUGGUCGGUACAGACGGAAGCGAAGCCGAGAGGUGAAGCGAAUCCUAAAAAGCCGAUCUCAGUUCGGAUUGGAGGCUGAAAUUCGCCUCCAUGAAGUUGGAAUCGCUAGUAAUCGCGGAUCAGCAAUGUCGCGGUGAAUAUGUUCCCGAGCCUUGUACACACCGCCCGUCAAGCCACCCAAGCAGGAUGCACCCGAAAACAUUAUAUCUAACCAGGGCAACUUGGAGGAAAAUGUUGAAGGAGUGUUUUGUGAGGAGGACUAAGUCGUAACAAGGUAGUCGUAGGAGAACCUGCGGCUG
This 657-nucleotide ribosomal RNA is filed under the name marine metagenome. Its description in RNAcentral is "bacterial SSU rRNA". It matches the Rfam family "Bacterial small subunit ribosomal RNA", at positions 879 to 1520 of the family's 1533-position model. The record is from RNAcentral.